Molecule: ribosomal RNA, 1040 nt
Filed under: Candidatus Synechococcus spongiarum 630SC1
Lineage: Bacteria; Bacillati; Cyanobacteriota; Cyanophyceae; Synechococcales; Synechococcaceae
Description: bacterial SSU rRNA
Rfam family: Bacterial small subunit ribosomal RNA
Source: RNAcentral
AUAUGCCGAGAGGUGAAACGAAUUUCGCCUGGGGAUGAGCUCGCGUCUGAUUAGCUUGUUGGUGGGGUAACGGCCUACCAAGGCUUCGAUCAGUAGCUGGUCUGAGAGGACGAUCAGCCACACUGGGACUGAGACACGGCCCAGACUCCUACGGGAGGCAGCAGUGGGGAAUUUUCCGCAAUGGGCGCAAGCCUGACGGAGCAACGCCGCGUGAGGGAUGAAGGCCUUUGGGCUGUAAACCUCUUUUCUCAAGGAAGAAGAUCUGACGGUACUUGAGGAAUAAGCCACGGCUAAUUCCGUGCCAGCAGCCGCGGUAAUACGGGAGUGGCAAGCGUUAUCCGGAAUUAUUGGGCGUAAAGCGUCCGCAGGCGGCCGUUUAAGUCUGUUGUUAAAUCGUGGAGCUCAACUCCAUCACGGCAAUGGAAACUGUUCGGCUUGAGUAUGGUAGGGGCAGAGGGAAUUUCCGGUGUAGCGGUGAAAUGCGUAGAUAUCGGGAAGAACACCAGUGGCAAAAGCGCUCUGCUGGGCCAUUACUGACGCUCAUGGACGAAAGCCAGGGGAGCGAAAGGGAUUAGAUACCCCUGUAGUCCUGGCCGUAAACGAUGAACACUAGAUGUUGGGGGAAUCGACCCCUCCGGUGUCGUAGCUAACGCGUUAAGUGUUCCGCCUGGGGAGUACGCACGCAAGUGUGAAACUCAAAGGAAUUGACGGGGGCCCGCACAAGCGGUGGAGUAUGUGGUUUAAUUCGAUGCAACGCGAAGAACCUUACCAAGGCUUGACAUCCUGCGAAUCUCCAAGAAAUUGGAGAGUGCCUUCGGGAACGCAGUGACAGGUGGUGCAUGGCUGUCGUCAGCUCGUGUCGUGAGAUGUUGGGUUAAGUCCCGCAACGAGCGCAACCCACGUUUUUAGUUGCCAGCAUUCAGUUGGGCACUCUAGAAAGACUGCCGGUGACAAACCGGAGGAAGGUGUGGACGACGUCAAGUCAUCAUGCCCCUUACGCCUUGGGCUACACACGUACUACAAUGCUGCGGACAAAGAGU